Molecule: ribosomal RNA, 302 nt
Filed under: uncultured bacterium
Lineage: Bacteria
Description: partial 16S ribosomal RNA
Rfam family: Bacterial small subunit ribosomal RNA
Source: RNAcentral
GCAGUAGCCGCGGUAACACCGAGGGUGCGAGCGUUAAUCGGAUUUACUGGGCGUAAAGCGUGCGUAGGCGGCUUUUUAAGUCGGAUGUGAAAUCCCUGAGCUUAACUUAGGAAUUGCAUUCGAUACUGGGAAGCUAGAGUAUGGGAGAGGAUGGUAGAAUUCCAGGUGUAGCGGUGAAAUGCGUAGAGAUCUGGAGGAAUACCGAUGGCGAAGGCAGCCAUCUGGCCUAAUACUGACGCUGAGGUACGAAAGCAUGGGGAGCAAACAGGAUUAGAUACCCCCGUAGUCCCUGUCUCUUAUAC